Molecule: ribosomal RNA, 453 nt
Filed under: uncultured bacterium
Lineage: Bacteria
Description: bacterial SSU rRNA
Rfam family: Bacterial small subunit ribosomal RNA
Source: RNAcentral
GAUGAACGCUGGCGGCGUGCUUAACACAUGCAAGUCGAACGGGAUCCCAGGAGCUUGCUCCUGGGUGAGAGUGGCGAACGGGUGAGUAAUGCGUGACCGACCUGCCCCAUACACCGGAAUAGCUCCUGGAAACGGGUGGUAAUGCCGGAUGCUCCAGUUGACCGCAUGGUCCUCUGGGAAAGAUUCAUCGGUAUGGGAUGGGGUCGCGUCCUAUCAGCUUGAUGGCGGGGUAACGGCCCACCAUGGCUUCGACGGGUAGCCGGCCUGAGAGGGCGACCGGCCACAUUGGGACUGAGAUACGGCCCAGACUCCUAUGGGAGGCAGCAGUGGGGAAUAUUGCACAAUGGGCGCAAGCCUGAUGCAGCGACGCCGCGUGCGGGAUGACGGCCUUCGGGUUGUAAACCGCUUUUGACUGGGAGCAAGCCCUUCGGGGUGAGUGUACCUUUCGAAUAA